RNAcentral lists this ribosomal RNA (126 nucleotides) under Perca fluviatilis (European perch). RNAcentral describes it as "partial 28S ribosomal RNA". Lineage: Eukaryota; Metazoa; Chordata; Actinopteri; Perciformes; Percidae. The record is from RNAcentral. RNAcentral also lists the same sequence under 1 other name.
GAGGUGGGAUCCCGGCCCCUCGGGGUCGGGCGCACCACCGGCCCGUCUCGCCCGCACCGUCGGGGAGGUGGAGCGUGAGCGCGUGCGAUAGGACCCGAAAGAUGGUGAACUAUGCCUGGGCAGGGC